This 1484-nucleotide ribosomal RNA is filed under the name metagenome. Its description in RNAcentral is "bacterial SSU rRNA". It matches the Rfam family "Bacterial small subunit ribosomal RNA". The record is from RNAcentral.
AGAGUUUGAUCCUGGCUCAGGAUGAACGCUAGCGGCAGGCUUAACACAUGCAAGUCGAGGGGCAGCGCGGGAUAGCAAUAUCCUGGCGGCGACCGGCGGAAGGGUGCGUAACGCGUGAGCGACAUGCCCGUUGCCCGGGGACAACCGGUGGAAACGCCGACUAAUCCCCGAUGGGAUACGAUGCUUCAUGGCAUUGUAUUGAAAGUUACGGCGGCGACGGAUUGGCUCGCGUCCGAUUAGCUUGUUGGCGGGGUAACGGCCCACCAAGGCUACGAUCGGUAGGGGUUCUGAGAGGAAGGCCCCCCACAAUGGGACUGAGACACGGCCCAUACUCCUACGGGAGGCAGCAGUGAGGAGUAUUGGUCAAUGGGCGGAAGCCUGAACCAGCCAUGCCGCGUGCGGGAAGGAGGCCCUAUGGGCUGUGAACCGCUUUUGCCUGGGGGCAAUAAGGGCGUCGCGCACGUCCGAUGAGAGUACCAGGCGAAUAAGCAUCGGCUAACUCCGUGCCAGCAGCCGCGGUAAUACGGGGGAUGCGAGCGUUAUCCGGAUUCAUUGGGUUUAAAGGGUGCGUAGGCUGUGCGUCAAGUCGGGGGUGAAAUUCCGGUGCUCAACACCGGGGCUGCCCUUGAUACUGUCGCGCUGGAGUGCGGAUGCCGCCGGAGGAAUGAGUGGUGUAGCGGUGAAAUGCUUAGAUAUCACUCAGAACACCGAUUGCGAAGGCAUCUGGCGAAUCCGUAACUGACGCUGAGGCACGAAAGCGUGGGGAUAGAACAGGAUCAGAUACCCUGGUAUUCCACGCCGUAAACGAUGAUGGCUAACCGCCGGCGACACACUGUCGGUGGCCAAGCGAGAGCGAUAAGCCAUCCACCUGGGGAGUACGUCGGCAACGAUGAAACUCAAAGGAAUUGACGGGGGCCCCCACAAGCGGAGGAACAUGUGGUUUAAUUCGAUGAUACGCGAGGAACCUUACCCGGGCUUAAAUUGCAACCGAAUAUGGCGGAAACGCCAUAGCUAGCAAUAGCGGUUGUGAAGGUGCUGCAUGGUUGUCGUCAGCUCGUGCCGUGAGGUGUCGGCUUAAGUGCCAUAACGAGCGCAACCCUUGCCGAUAGUUACUAACAGGUCAUGCUGAGGACUCUGUCGGGACUGCCAUCGUAAGAUGUGAGGAAGGUGGGGAUGACGUCAAAUCAGCACGGCCCUUACGUCCGGGGCUACACACGUGUUACAAUGGGGGGUACAGAGGGCUGCUGCCACGCAAGUGGAUGCCAAUCCCAAAAACCUCUCUCAGUUCGGAUUGAAGUCUGCAACCCGACUUCAUGAAGCUGGAUUCGCUAGUAAUCGCGCAUCAGCCACGGCGCGGUGAAUACGUUCCCGGGCCUUGUACACACCGCCCGUCAAGCCAUGGGAGCCGGGGGUACCUGAAGUGCGUAACCGCAAGGAGCGCCCUAGGGUAAAACUGGUGACUGGGGCUAAGUCGUAACAAGGUA